Long non-coding RNA from Raphanus sativus (radish), 710 nucleotides. RefSeq lists it as uncharacterized. NCBI's taxonomy places the organism in Eukaryota, Viridiplantae, Streptophyta, Magnoliopsida, Brassicales, Brassicaceae. The transcript is spliced from 3 exons. The record is from RefSeq and is a predicted model, not a curated record.
UAUCAUUAAAAAGAAAAUGAAAAAGAAAAAAAAUAGAUUGAGACGUUUCUUAUUUGGAGUCAAAGAAGAAAUGUAUACGGGACACGUGUGAGCAAAUUGAGAGGAGAGAGGAGGAGCAUGGUUUCGUGCUCUGGUUCUGUUCUCUCUCUUUCUCCCUCACGAAGAACGGUGAUUUCCUCUGGUACAUCCACCGUUGCUCAACUUUCUUCUAAGAAGCCGGAGACUUCCGACGGAGUUAUGUCUCCUGCCUGCCUUCAUCCACGCCGCCAGAGAUUUCCUCUGACUGCCUUCACCCGCUCUGCCGCUUCUUCCGUACCGAGACUCUCUUCACGAUCAGAAUGAAACCCAUCUCCACAAGAAAUCUCAAUAAAGCUCAACAACAAUGCAAAGCAGCUUCAAGACCAUUCCUUUCAACCCUGACUUCUACUCCCAAGCUUCUUUCUUCUUCAAGGAGAUAGUUGUCGUGAGGUGGCUCUGUGUAUUUUAUUGCAUUGCCCAGGCUUCUCGAAAUCACCUGCAACACACAAGGUUCAUCGCACAAAGAGUACAAUGCAAAACAGGUUAGGAUGAUCAAUGCUUGUCUUAAAAAUGUGCUUGUUCUCUUGUUCUGAUUAUGUUCAAGUUCUUGUGCUUUGUCUUGUUCUGUUUCAGUAAUGAGAAUGAUAUGCUUCAUGUUUUUGGUUGUGGUUAUUGAUUCAUGUUCUUGCUUA